Molecule: unclassified non-coding RNA, 272 nt
Filed under: plant metagenome
Description: partial contains small subunit ribosomal RNA, internal transcribed spacer 1, and 5.8S ribosomal RNA
Source: RNAcentral
UUUCCGUAGGUGAACCUGCGGAAGGAUCAUUAAUGAGUUGUCAUGGGGUUCGAUGCUGGCAGCCAGUUUUUGGAUGCAUGUGCUUGCCCUAACAAUCAUCUUCUUCCAAACACCUGUGCACAUUUUUGAGGGAGUCUUGAGUUGGUUGCCGCUCUUGGGUGAUUUUCUCACAUUCCCUUAAAUCAUUAUACGCUAUUAACAAUGUUGAACGUGCUCUGUGCCGCAAGGCCAUUAAUAUAAUACAACUUUUAACAACGGAUCUCUUGGCUCUC